Long non-coding RNA from Astatotilapia calliptera (eastern happy), 1863 nucleotides. The record is from Ensembl. Lineage: Eukaryota; Metazoa; Chordata; Actinopteri; Cichliformes; Cichlidae.
CACGAACCCCCCACUGUCACAGUCGAGGCAAAUAUAGUCGCGUGGACCAGACUAGAAGAAACCCCCCACCCUCCUCUGACCCGCUCCUUACGCAAAUAAACCUCUGAAGGUUAUGUGAGUGUUUAGACGGAGGCUGGCGUUAAGGAGGAGAGACGUGGACGCUACCGAUCACCAUGGCUUCCACCCCCUCGGCCUCUGCCCUGUCCGCUGUUCUCCGGUGCCGGGGGAAUAUCUGGACGAGGAAUCCGCCGGCCAAGCGGCCUGCCAGCUCGGCGUACGGCCUAGGACUGGCCGGCGGGGCGCUGCGCGACUCUCCGGGCGAGCGCAGCGGCUCACACCAGGCGUCAGCGGCGGAGGCUUCUCCACACGGAGAGUGUGUGGUGGUCCUGGUGGGAAGAAGGCUGAUUGUUUCGUACAGGUCGGACAGAGUGGGGGGUAAAGUUUCCAGGGAAGUGAGUGGAUUACGUUACCCAAAACUUUCGCAAUCUCCAGCGCACGCGCACUCAGCUGCGCCUGCGCUGGUGCGCGUACUAGCGAGCAGACUGUCUGGAAAUAAUAAAUGCUCUAAAAUAAUUCAGAUUAAAGAUCCUGCACACAUCCGCAAAAGCGCUUUGGUUAAAGACACGAGUGAAAUCUCUGCGAGCGUCCUGAAGCUGUCCGUGACGUCCCCUCCGUGUUUAGUGGGACAAAUCCCGUCCUUCAUGUUAAACGGCUGCUCAGGCAGCAGCCCCGAUGAAGCACCACGACAUCUGCUGUGCCAGCGGGAUGAGAACAACUCCAGCAGCCGGAGCCUCCAGGCAAACAAACAGACCUCUUACAAGAACAACUCCAGCUCAGCACAAAAGAUCACACAGGAAGGACCUGACUGAGUCCAAGGCCUCAGCGCCACAAAGAAGCAUUGCGAUCAACAUCAUUUAUUGACUUUUCAGGACACACACCACAUCUGGACUUCAACCUGCUGAUAGAAACCAACCAGCUGUUUUUCAUGGCACACUAACCAGUGGCAAAUGAAUGGAAGAACCAGAAUGAAGUGUUUGAAAUGAAGCGUUGAGCCUCCACAAACACCAUUAGUGCUGUUUGGCAGCGACUCUCUAAAUCUCUGAUUUGGGCAAGACCAUAUUUACUGUAAAAAAAUGUUUUCCCUUAUCUGUUUUUUUGAUGAUAAUGGUCGAGGGCAAAGUCCCACAUGGAUUAGUGAUCAAUUAGAUUGAGAUCAGAUUGAGUCGCAUACUGUGGCAAAGGCUACAGCGUGUGGUUUGCAACAUUUUCACCCUCUUAAGACUUUUCAGUGGUUGGGGAUAUGUCAUCAUGGAAGAGCCCACUCCCACCAGGACAAAAAUAUUUAAUCAUUAAGCUGAUGUUUCUGCAUAACUUUGUAUUGAUUUGAAGUGGAUCACCACUGCAGGGGCCUACAGCGAGUUCCCCCUCUGUAGGGUUCAGUGGUUCUGGUUUUUUCCUUUAAUUUGCCACUUGUCUGUAUGAGCAACAAGAAACAAGCAUGUAUUGCAAGUCUUCUGAAUGGAUAUGCUCACCUUGCGUGCUGCAGAUACUCUGUUUGUCAGGGCUCAGUGUUUCCAGUGGGAGAAACGUGUUCUCGCUCGUCCAGGUGACCUCUUCGGUCCCCGCAGACAGAAGAAGUCGGCCGUCUGCAGGUUUCUCCAGCCAACUGAAAAUGCUGCGCUCAGAUGAGCAGAAUCAACUGUCUGCAUUAAAACUCUCACCCUGCAUAAUUUGCACAAAAGCUCAUUUUACAGAGACCGUGACACAAACUUCCUCUUUAAAUUGGAGUUAAAAUAAAGCCUCAAGAAACACACCAAUGCACACUGAGUAAAAACGAUAUAAAUGUGUGGAAAUAAUUAAAAG